CAGAAUGUGGCUGAGUAAGUUAAGCAUCUCCCUUACACUGAGAGACACCCAUGCAAAUUGGGUCAUUCUGA
This 71-nucleotide transfer RNA is filed under the name Paedocypris micromegethes. Its description in RNAcentral is "tRNA-Val". The record is from RNAcentral. Lineage: Eukaryota; Metazoa; Chordata; Actinopteri; Cypriniformes.